UACGUAGGCAGCAAGCGUUGUUCGGAAUUACUGGGCGUAAAGAGUGUGUAGGCGGUGUUCUAAGUCUGUUGUGAAAUCUCCCGGCUUAACUGGGAGGGUGCGGCGGAGACUGGAAUGCUAGAGUGUGGGAGAGGUAAGCGGAAUUCCUGGUGUAGCGGUGAAAUGCGUAGAUAUCAGGAGGAACACCUGUGGUGUAGACAGCUUACUGGACCACGACUGACGCUGAGGCGCGAAAGCGUGGGGAGCAAACAGG
Molecule: ribosomal RNA, 253 nt
Filed under: uncultured bacterium
Lineage: Bacteria
Description: partial 16S ribosomal RNA
Rfam family: Bacterial small subunit ribosomal RNA
Source: RNAcentral